This 422-nucleotide ribosomal RNA is filed under the name Fusobacteriota bacterium. RNAcentral's name for it is "Fusobacteria bacterium partial 16S ribosomal RNA". It matches the Rfam family "Bacterial small subunit ribosomal RNA", at positions 355 to 776 of the family's 1533-position model. The record is from RNAcentral. Lineage: Bacteria; Fusobacteriati; Fusobacteriota.
UGGGGGAUUUUGCACAAUGGGCGCAAGCCUGAUGCAGCGACGCUGCGUGAGGGAUGAAGGCCUUCGGGUUGUAAACCUCUUUCGCUGGGUUGAAAGGCCAUGCUUUGGGUGUGGUUGAUCUGAACUGGUAAAGAAGUACCGGCUAACUACGUGCCAGCAGCCGCGGUAAUACGUAGGGUACUAGCGUUGUCCGGAUUUAUUGGGCGUAAAGGGCCUGUAGGUGGUUUGUCGCGUCUGUCGUGAAAUCCUGUGGCUUAACCAUGGGCUUGCGGUGGGUACGGGCAGGCUUGAGUGCGGUAGGGGAGACUGGAAUUCCUGGUGUGGCGGUGGAAUGCGCAGAUAUCAGGAGGAACACCGGUGGCGAAGGCGGGUCUCUGGGCCGUUACUGACACUGAGGAGCGAAAGCGUGGGGAGCGAACAGG